ACGAACGCUGGCGGCGUGCUUAACCCCUGCAAGUCGAACGGAAAGGCCUCUUUCGGGGGGUACUCGAGUGGCGAACGGGUGAGUAACACGUGAGUAACCUGCCCUUGACUUUGGGAUAACUUCAGGAAACUGGGGCUAAUACCGGAUAGGAGCCCCUGCUGCAUGGUGGGGGUUGGAAAGUUUCGGCGGUUGGGGAUGGACUCGCGGCUUAUCAGCUUGUUGGUGGGGUAGUGGCUUACCAAGGCUUUGACGGGUAGCCGGCCUGAGAGGGUGACCGGCCACAUUGGGACUGAGAUACGGCCCAGACUCCUACGGGAGGCAGCAGUGGGGAAUAUUGCACAAUGGGUGGAAGCCUGAUGCAGCAACGCCGUGUGCGGGAUGACGGCCUUCGGGUUGUAAACCGCUUUCGCUCAUGACGAAGCUUUGUGUGACGGUAGUGGGUAAAGAAGCACCGGCUAACUACGUG
This 466-nucleotide ribosomal RNA is filed under the name uncultured bacterium. Its description in RNAcentral is "partial 16S ribosomal RNA". It matches the Rfam family "Bacterial small subunit ribosomal RNA", at positions 29 to 507 of the family's 1533-position model. The record is from RNAcentral.